RNAcentral lists this ribosomal RNA (561 nucleotides) under Cubiceps paradoxus (longfin cigarfish). RNAcentral's name for it is "partial 16S rRNA". It matches the Rfam family "Bacterial large subunit ribosomal RNA", at positions 1843 to 2602 of the family's 2925-position model. The record is from RNAcentral. Lineage: Eukaryota; Metazoa; Chordata; Actinopteri; Scombriformes; Nomeidae.
GAAUAAGAGGUCCAGCCUGCCCUGUGACUAUAUGUUUAACGGCCGCGGUAUUUUAACCGUGCGAAGGUAGCGCAAUCACUUGUCUUUUAAAUGGAGACCUGUAUGAAUGGCAUAACGAGGGCUUAACUGUCUCCUUUUUCAAGUCAAUGAAAUUGAUCUCCCCGUGCAGAAGCGGGGAUACGCUCAUAAGACGAGAAGACCCUAUGGAGCUUUAGACACUAAGGUAUAUCAUGCUAAACACCCCUAAACAAAGGACUAAGCCAAAUGAACCAUACCCCUAUGUCUUUGGUUGGGGCGACCGCGGGGAAAUAAAAAACCCCCACGUGGAAUGGGAGCACUGCCUCCUACAACCAAGAGCUGCAGCUCUAAUAAACAGAAUUUCUGACCAAUAAGAUCCGGCAACGCCGAUCAACGGACCGAGUUACCCUAGGGAUAACAGCGCAAUCCCCUUUUAGAGCCCAUAUCGACAAGGGGGUUUACGACCUCGAUGUUGGAUCAGGACAUCCUAAUGGUGCAGCCGCUAUUAAGGGUUCGUUUGUUCAACGAUUAAAGUCCUACGUG